ACGAACGCUGGCGGCGUGCCUAAUACAUAGCAAGUCGAACGGUCUUUCUAUGGAAGCUUGCUUCCACUGAGAAGAUAGUGGCGAACGGGUGAGUAACACGUGGGUAACCUGCCCAUAAGAGGGGGAUAACAUCCGGAAACGGGUGCUAAUACCGCAUAGUUUUCUUGAUCGCAUGAUCGGGAAAGGGAAGACGGCCUUUGUGCUGUCGCUUAUGGAUGGACCCGCGGCGUAUUAGUUAGUUGGUGAGGUAAUGGCUCACCAAGACGAUGAUACGUAGCCGACCUGAGAGGGUGAUCGGCCACAUUGGGACUGAGACACGGCCCAAACUCCUACGGGAGGCAGCAGUAGGGAAUCUUCCGCAAUGGACGAAAGUCUGACGGAGCAACGCCGCGUGAGUGAAGAAAAGGUUUUCGGAUCGUAAAACUCUGUUGUCAGAGAAGAACAAGUUGGAGAGUAACUGCUCCAGCCUUGACGAUAUCUGACCAGAAAGCCACGGCUAACUACGUGCCAGCCGCCGC
Molecule: ribosomal RNA, 518 nt
Filed under: uncultured bacterium
Lineage: Bacteria
Description: bacterial SSU rRNA
Rfam family: Bacterial small subunit ribosomal RNA
Source: RNAcentral